AUAACUGACGCUUCAAAUUUUCUGUAUCGUUUAUUUUUUAAAUAUUCUCUAAUAAAAUUUAAAUCUGAUAUGCCCUUUAUUUAAGGACUUUAAAUUGAUUUUUAAAACAGGGGAAUGGAAUUGGAACUUGCUUUGUCCACCCCAUGCAUUGACCUGGUAUUGCAAUAUCUCCAGGAACCGUGCAUCUCCU
This 190-nucleotide small nuclear RNA is filed under the name Chrysemys picta bellii (western painted turtle). RNAcentral's name for it is "U2 spliceosomal RNA (ENSCPBG00000013006.1)". It matches the Rfam family "U2 spliceosomal RNA". From Rfam's summary of the family: U2 is a small nuclear RNA (snRNA) component of the spliceosome (involved in pre-mRNA splicing). Complementary binding between U2 snRNA (in an area lying towards the 5' end but 3' to hairpin I) and the branchpoint sequence (BPS) of the intron results the bulging out of an unpaired adenosine, on the BPS, which initiates a nucleophilic attack at the intronic 5' splice site, thus starting the first of two transesterification reactions that mediate splicing. The record is from Rfam by way of RNAcentral. Lineage: Eukaryota; Metazoa; Chordata; Testudines; Emydidae.